This 193-nucleotide ribosomal RNA is filed under the name uncultured rumen bacterium. RNAcentral describes it as "partial 16S ribosomal RNA". It matches the Rfam family "Bacterial small subunit ribosomal RNA", at positions 340 to 524 of the family's 1533-position model. The record is from RNAcentral.
UACGGGAGGCAGCAGUGGGGAAUAUUGGGCAAUGGGCGAAACCCUGACCGAGCAACGCCGCGUGAGUGAUGACGGCCCUAUGGGUUGUAAAACUCUGUUGUAAGGGACGAAUGAUUAGCUUAGGAAAUGAAGCUAGUUUGACGGUACCUUACCAGAAAGCCACGGCUAACUACGUGCCAGCAGCCGCGGUAAU